CCUACGGGAGGCAGCAGUGAGGAAUCUUCCGCAAUGGACGAAAGUCUGACGGAGCAACACCGCGUGAAGGAUGAAGGCCUUUUGGUUGUAAACUUCUUUUCUGAGGGAAGAAUUUUGACGGUACCUMAGGAAUAAGCAUCGGCUAACU
RNAcentral lists this ribosomal RNA (148 nucleotides) under uncultured Chlorophyta. RNAcentral describes it as "partial 16S ribosomal RNA". It matches the Rfam family "Bacterial small subunit ribosomal RNA", at positions 338 to 502 of the family's 1533-position model. The record is from RNAcentral. Lineage: Eukaryota; Viridiplantae; Chlorophyta.